This is a long non-coding RNA of Gallus gallus (chicken), 474 nucleotides long. The record is from Ensembl. NCBI's taxonomy places the organism in Eukaryota, Metazoa, Chordata, Aves, Galliformes, Phasianidae.
AUAAGAAUCUGCCCAUUGUCAUAGGGACUGAACAAAAGGGCACCCAAUUCAGUGGUGGACAAGUGCCGCUAUGGAAGAAGGUGCUGAAUCAGCCAUUCAUCUCAGAUUUUCUGGGUCAUGAGUCACGCUGAGGACUACAGAGCAGUGGAUGACCGAGUCUAGCUUCAGUAGUCACUGAGAGCACCUCUCUUUUCUUCCUGUAGAAGUAAGGACACUGAGCAGCCCGCAGCUGUCUGAAGUUGCAGUUGGAGGAAAAAUACUUCUCAGCUUAGCUUGCAGCUGGAAUAUGCAUGUGAACAUGAACUUACAAAGAUAUAAGGAUCCUCUUGCUAAAAUUCAGGCUUAAGUUACAAGCAUAUGAGGUAAAAUGGCAUGUUUUUCCUCAAGACUCUCAUUGAAAACAAAUUCUUUGUGUGCAAAUAUCCCUUCCCCCUCAGAAACAUUCACCUGAGGCAUAUGGCUUGUCUCAAAAAG